This 871-nucleotide ribosomal RNA is filed under the name Lacticaseibacillus paracasei. Its description in RNAcentral is "bacterial SSU rRNA". It matches the Rfam family "Bacterial small subunit ribosomal RNA", at positions 56 to 890 of the family's 1533-position model. Lineage: Bacteria; Bacillati; Bacillota; Bacilli; Lactobacillales; Lactobacillaceae. The record is from RNAcentral.
UGCAAGUCGAACGAGUUCUCGUUGAUGAUCGGUGCUUGCACCGAGAUUCAACAUGGAACGAGUGGCGGACGGGUGAGUAACACGUGGGUAACCUGCCCUUAAGUGGGGGAUAACAUUUGGAAACAGAUGCUAAUACCGCAUAGAUCCAAGAACCGCAUGGUUCUUGGCUGAAAGAUGGCGUAAGCUAUCGCUUUUGGAUGGACCCGCGGCGUAUUAGCUAGUUGGUGAGGUAAUGGCUCACCAAGGCGAUGAUACGUAGCCGAACUGAGAGGUUGAUCGGCCACAUUGGGACUGAGACACGGCCCAAACUCCUACGGGAGGCAGCAGUAGGGAAUCUUCCACAAUGGACGCAAGUCUGAUGGAGCAACGCCGCGUGAGUGAAGAAGGCUUUCGGGUCGUAAAACUCUGUUGUUGGAGAAGAAUGGUCGGCAGAGUAACUGUUGCCGGCGUGACGGUAUCCAACCAGAAAGCCACGGCUAACUACGUGCCAGCAGCCGCGGUAAUACGUAGGUGGCAAGCGUUAUCCGGAUUUAUUGGGCGUAAAGCGAGCGCAGGCGGUUUUUUAAGUCUGAUGUGAAAGCCCUCGGCUUAACCGAGGAAGCGCAUCGGAAACUGGGAAACUUGAGUGCAGAAGAGGACAGUGGAACUCCAUGUGUAGCGGUGAAAUGCGUAGAUAUAUGGAAGAACACCAGUGGCGAAGGCGGCUGUCUGGUCUGUAACUGACGCUGAGGCUCGAAAGCAUGGGUAGCGAACAGGAUUAGAUACCCUGGUAGUCCAUGCCGUAAACGAUGAAUGCUAGGUGUUGGAGGGCUUCCGCCCUUCAGUGCCGCAGCUAACGCAUUAAGCAUUCCGCCUGGAGAGUACGACCGCA